Molecule: ribosomal RNA, 254 nt
Filed under: uncultured bacterium
Lineage: Bacteria
Description: partial 16S ribosomal RNA
Rfam family: Bacterial small subunit ribosomal RNA
Source: RNAcentral
UACGUAGGGUGCAAGCGUUAUCCGGAAUUAUUGGGCGUAAAGAGCUCGUAGGCGGUUUGUCGCGUCUGCUGUGAAAACUGGAGGCUCAACCUCCAGCCUGCAGUGGGUACGGGCAGACUAGAGUGCGGUAGGGGGAGAUUGGAAUUCCUGGUGUAGCGGUGGAAUGCGCAGAUAUCAGGAGGAACACCGGUGGCGAAGGCGGGUCUCUGGGCCGAUACUGACGCUGAGGAGCGAAAGCGUGGGGAGCGAACAGG